This 445-nucleotide ribosomal RNA is filed under the name uncultured bacterium. RNAcentral's name for it is "bacterial SSU rRNA". It matches the Rfam family "Bacterial small subunit ribosomal RNA", at positions 330 to 792 of the family's 1533-position model. The record is from RNAcentral.
GCCAGACUCCUACGGGAGGCAGCAGUGGGGAAUAUUGCACAAUGGGGGAAACCCUGAUGCAGCGACGCCGCGUGAGUGAAGAAGUGUUUCGGUAUGUAAAGCUCUCUCAGCAGGGAAGAAAAUGACGGUACCUGAUUAAGAAGCCCCGGCUAACUACGUGCCAGCAGCCGCGGUAAUACGUAGGGGGCAAGCGUUAUCCGGAUUUACUGGGUGUAAAGGGAGCGUAGACGGUGAUGCAAGUCAGAAGUGAAAGCCCGGGGCUCAACUCCGGGACUGCUUUUGAAACUGUGUGACUGGAGUGCAGGAGAGGUAAGCGGAAUUCCUGGUGUAGCGGUGAAAUGCGUAGAUAUCAGGAGGAACACCAGUGGCGAAGGCGGCUUACUGGACUGUAACUGACGUUGAGGCUCGAAAGCGUGGGGAGCAAACAGGAUUAGAUACCCUCGUA